RNAcentral lists this ribosomal RNA (306 nucleotides) under Trachelipus kytherensis. Its description in RNAcentral is "partial 12S ribosomal RNA". The record is from RNAcentral. Lineage: Eukaryota; Metazoa; Arthropoda; Malacostraca; Isopoda; Trachelipodidae.
UAAACCAGGAUUAGAUACCCUAUUAUAUUUAAGCGAAGGUUCUGAGGGAAAGUAGUUGUUAUAGUCUUGAAACCCAAAAGGUAUGGCGGUAUUUAGUUGAAUCAGAGGAACCUGCCCAAUAAGCGAUACCCCUCGUUAUAUCUUACCUUUUUUAGGUUUGUAUACCAUCGUCUAAGCUAUAUUUAUAAAUCUAAGAGCUAAAAGUAGGGAUAAUAAAUUCAGAUCCAGGCGCAGCUUUAAAAGGUUGAGGUGGGUUACAUUUAAACUCUUAAUGGAGAGAGGGAGGAAACUCCUUUGAAAAGCGGA